Molecule: long non-coding RNA, 1680 nt
Organism: Crotalus tigris (Tiger rattlesnake)
Lineage: Eukaryota; Metazoa; Chordata; Lepidosauria; Squamata; Viperidae
Exons: 5
Source: RefSeq, a predicted model, not a curated record
UUAAAUAUGAUAAAUAAACAAAUAAAUAGUGUGUGUUCUAGUCUUCUGCAUGCUAAACUGCAUUGGCCAUUAGUCCUGGUUAACCCUAACCCUAACCCUGUCCCUUGUCCCUUUUUAGCACUGGGAAAGGUUCAGAGUGACAUUGAUCCCUGUUUCAAUUCAUCAGGUGUAACGAGGGAGGGGAGAGAGCCCCCCACCCCUUCCUACUGUGUUUGGCUGUGACAGAUGGAGACAACUGCUGCAAUGCAUGGAUGUGGUCCCUUUCCCCAAAUACCUGUUCCCAUGACAAUCAACCCACUUGCUUAUAUCACUGACUGCUCCCUCACUAGACACAACAGUGGAACCUGAACAGUACAUGUAGCAAUGUCUUCUCUGAUUAUCAGCCCAGAACUGUGUCGGAGGAAAGAUGGAGAGAAGCUGGCACGGGCUGACUGAUUUAAUAGUAUUUUUAUACUGAUGACUCCAUAGCAACUCUUGACAAUUUACAAACAGCUGCCUAAAAUCCAUACAACUAGUAGUCACGAGGCCCAGAGUCACCCUACACUAAACUAGAGAUGGGAAGAUCCUAGCUUCUGACCAUGUUGUCAUCAGCACGGUCAAUUGUUUGUACAGCCAGGUUUAUAUUGGAAGAAGAGGGCCAUUAAAACAUCACUUUAACUGCAGAGCAACUAAAGGGCAGCUUUAGCUGUCCCUGCAGCUGGCUGGAGGUGAAAGUCAGGUGAUGCCGUGAGGGUUGUUACUUAACAAUGGUUAGUGAGGGUCUUCAUGCUAUGGUUAGAGGGGCAUGAGGAUGAACUAGCUGAUUUGAUUCACUCCAACUCUCUAAAUAAAAUUAGCAUACGGGAUCCAGUGGAACUUUUGUUCCUGUUAAUCCUUUUUCAUAAGUGGGAAGUUCUACCAUAUGUGUAUUUUUUUUAAAAAAACCCAGUUGGUCUUCUGAGUCUAGGAUCCCUUCUUUCCAGACUGAGUUGACUUUCUUUGACUCCAAAAGCAAAAGACCAUCUGAAGAAAAAGCCUUGGAAGUAUAAUUUCCCAUAAAUUCAUUUUUUCUUUUCUAUUUUUUUCAAAAAAGAAAAACAUCUGAAGCACGACAUUGGCCAAGCAUUGAUAUGUGCUACUGUGAUUGUAUCCACACUAUGAUUUAUAAUACUUAGUAAAUUCGCCUCCUCCAGUUGAUUUGUCCUGAGCUGUUCAAAAUGUCUUCUUUUGGCAGGUCUGUCUGCAGAAAUACAGAGACCACCAAAGAGAACAAAAAAAGAAGCAGACAGAAGAGGUGACAUCCUCACAGGAGAAGGAGCUGGCAGAAAAAGAUGCCACCAUAAGAGCUUUGGAAGAGGAGAACAAGACCUUAGCCAGCGAACUGGCCCAUCUUCUGGAGCGGAAUGAGGAACUGAAGCACUUUACAAAUCUUGAUCCAGAAAGAGAGGCUGAGAGAAAAGAGUUGGAGGUUGCAAUAUUGAAGAAAAAAUUGGAAAGGGAGCAGAAGGCAAUCAGCCGACUCACCGCUGAGGUCUCAAGAGAGAGGGAGAGGAGAAGAGACCUCAUGAGAGCCCGGGACCAGGCAAUCGAUGCCAUCUGCUCCCAGUUGCUAUCUAUACCUUACUCUGAGAGAAGAUUGUCGGUGAGUUUUGUCCUUCUGCUUCUGGGAGAGAAAUAGACAUAUUUCAAUUGAUGACUCUC